Molecule: ribosomal RNA, 274 nt
Filed under: uncultured bacterium
Lineage: Bacteria
Description: partial 16S ribosomal RNA
Rfam family: Bacterial small subunit ribosomal RNA
Source: RNAcentral
AUACGGAGGGUGCGAGCGUUAAUCGGAUUUACUGGGCGUAAAGCGCGCGUAGGCGGCUAAUUAAGUCAAAUGUGAAAUCCCCGAGCUUAACUUGGGAAUUGCAUUCGAUACUGGUUAGCUAGAGUGUGGGAGAGGAUGGUAGAAUUCCAGGUGUAGCGGUGAAAUGCGUAGAGAUCUGGAGGAAUACCGAUGGCGAAGGCAGCCAUCUGGCCUAACACUGACGCUGAGGUGCGAAAGCAUGGGGAGCAAACAGGAUUAGAAACCCCUGUAGUCC